This 492-nucleotide ribosomal RNA is filed under the name uncultured bacterium. Its description in RNAcentral is "partial 16S ribosomal RNA". It matches the Rfam family "Bacterial small subunit ribosomal RNA", at positions 29 to 507 of the family's 1533-position model. The record is from RNAcentral.
AGUGAACGCUGGCGGUAGGCCUAACACAUGCAAGUCGAACGGCAGCACAGUAAGAGCUUGCUCUUACGGGUGGCGAGUGGCGGACGGGUGAGGAAUACAUCGGAAUCUACUUUUUCGUGAGGGAUAACGUAGGGAAACUUACGCUAAUACCGCAUACGACCUACGGGUGAAAGCAGGGGAUCUUCGGACCUUGCGCGAUUGAAUGAGCCGAUGUCGGAUUAGCUAGUUGGCGGGGUAAAGGCCCACCAAGGCGACGAUCCGUAGCUGGUCUGAGAGGAUGAUCGGCCACACUGGAACGGAGACACGGUCCAGACGCCUACGGGAGGCAGCAGUGGGGAAUAUUGGACAAUGGGCGCAAGCCUGAUCCAGCCAUACCGCGUGGGUGAAGAAGGCCUUCGGGUUGUAAAGCCCUUUUGUUGGGAAAGAAAAGCAGCAGGUUAAUACCCCGCUGUUCUGACGGUACCCAAAGAAUAAGCACCGGCUAACUUCGUG